GGGCGGGACUUGUCGCCCAGCAACGAGGGCUUAGGUCUUUUCGGAUUCGCUGACCCUCUGGCCCAGCGGUCUCCGCCCGCCGCCGAUCGGGGUCGUCGAUCUCCCGUCACCAGGACCCCGCUAGAGAAACCCCUCCUGGGUCCUUUCCUCGUACUGUAGCCGUCGUCGGCUGACGCGUCCACGUUACGGAUCUUCAUCCGGAUGGCAGGCCUUCUCCCGGCUCCGGGGCGGGAGUUUCUCCGGGCUUUGCGGAGUCUCGGAGAGGGUGGCGGGGAGGGAGAGACCCUCAGGGACUUGGUGUAGCGAUCUUAUUCGCACCCCCCCUCCCCUGCCGCCGGGGCUUGUGGAGGGGGGGGGCAGACCCCGGUUAAUGAUGAUGAUUCAAUCAUCGGCGCCUGCGGAGGCCUGGGACAGACUAAUGCAGAGCAGAUGCCGAAGGAGGAGGGGAGGAGGAUUGGGACACUACAGCACAGAGACACGCCGAAGCAGCAAGAGACUGCAGUAGCAUAGGCCCAGCCCCGUACUCAGGAGAAUCUUAGGAGCUCUAGACCUUGUACACCGCGAUCUCUAGGUACUUCCAGUGGGACUGAAAACCAAGGAUAAGUUUACUGUGAAGUAUUAACAUCAGGUGUAGUUGGGACACUCAAGGGAGUGAUCCCAGUGGAGACCACCGAGGGCGGUCUUUCUUUCUGGAAGAAGUGGGACUUUGUGUGCGCCCAGUUUAGAGAAUAGGGUUGGGAUGCAUGGAUAAGAAGUAUGGUGGGAAAAGAGAAAAAGGCAGAGUGAAGGGCAAUGACUGGAAAGACGGACAGGAAGAAGGCCACGGUGUGGAUUUGAGAGUAGUGAUACAAGCAAGACCUCGUGGAGCUGGGACUUUAGCCUAAGGGCAAUUAGGGAGAUAGCAGACUUUUUUUGAAGGGAGGGAGUUACCCUAUGAAAGAAACGUUUUUGCUCAUUUAUUUUUGAAUAAUUGGAGUGGAUAAGCAGCAAGAAAAUAUGAGAUGAGUGAUUUUGAAAUCAACCCCUUCUCACUACAACCACUGCUUACUUACCUCCCUAGUCCAAGAUACCAUCAUCUGUUCUCUGGAUGAUUGAUUGCAGUGGCUUCUGGCCGGCUUUCCUUGCUCCAUGUUUCCAUAUGAAUAAAAAGAAUAUAAGGAAA
Molecule: long non-coding RNA, 1162 nt
Organism: Neogale vison (American mink)
Lineage: Eukaryota; Metazoa; Chordata; Mammalia; Carnivora; Mustelidae
Exons: 2
Source: RefSeq, a predicted model, not a curated record